AUGGAUUUGCAUUAAGGAUAGGUUGUCUUCUAAAUCAUGUAAAGGCUUAAACCAAUACAAUAUCAUUUCUCUACUUAUUUUUGGCAUGGCAAGUUGUUGGAACUUGGUUCACUAAUCAAGACUUCUAACAUGUGUUGUUGCCUACAUUAUUAUUGACCGACAUCAGAUAGUUGUGACUUCUACAUAAGUCCAAUUACGAUUGCUUAACAUAGCGCUAAAUUUUCCUUAUGGCACACUAACUACUAACACUAAUCAUUAACCAUUAACAUUUACUUUU
Molecule: long non-coding RNA, 277 nt
Filed under: Lathyrus oleraceus (garden pea)
Lineage: Eukaryota; Viridiplantae; Streptophyta; Magnoliopsida; Fabales; Fabaceae
Description: Pisum sativum (pea) long non-coding RNA (PSAT_LNC021607)
Source: RNAcentral